GCUGAUGCGUUGUUGGGUAGGGGAGCGUUCUGUAAGCCUGUGAAGGUGUGUCGUGAGGCAUGCUGGAGGUAUCAGAAGUGCGAAUGCUGACAUAAGUAACGAUAAAGCGGGUGAAAAGCCCGCUCGCCGGAAGACCAAGGGUUCCUGUCCAACGUUAAUCGGGGCAGGGUGAGUCGACCCCUAAGGCGAGGCCGAAAGGCGUAGUCGAUGGGAAACGGGUUAAUAUUCCCGUACUUGGUGUUACUGCGAAGGGGGGACGGAGAAGGCUAUGUUGGCCGGGCGACGGUUGUCCCGGUUUAAGCGUGUAGGUGUGUGUUCCAGGUAAAUCCGGUUCACUUUAACACUGAGGCGUGACGACGAGGCACUACGGUGCUGAAGCAACAAAUGCCCUGCUUCCAGGAAAAGCCUCUAAGCAUCAGGUAACAUCAAAUCGUACCCCAAACCGACACAGGUGGUCAGGUAGAGAAUACCAAGGCGCUUGAGAGAACUCGGGUGAAGGAACUAGGCAAAAUGGUGCCGUAACU
RNAcentral lists this ribosomal RNA (524 nucleotides) under Salmonella enterica subsp. enterica. Its description in RNAcentral is "partial 23S ribosomal RNA". It matches the Rfam family "Bacterial large subunit ribosomal RNA", at positions 1213 to 1735 of the family's 2925-position model. The record is from RNAcentral. RNAcentral also lists the same sequence under 1 other name. Lineage: Bacteria; Pseudomonadati; Pseudomonadota; Gammaproteobacteria; Enterobacterales; Enterobacteriaceae.